This 253-nucleotide ribosomal RNA is filed under the name uncultured prokaryote. RNAcentral describes it as "partial 16S ribosomal RNA". It matches the Rfam family "Bacterial small subunit ribosomal RNA", at positions 525 to 777 of the family's 1533-position model. The record is from RNAcentral.
ACGGAGGGUGCAAGCGUUAUCCGGAUUCACUGGGUUUAAAGGGUGCGUAGGUUGACCGGGAAGUCAGUGGUGAAAUACUCUCGCUUAACGAGAGAACUGCCGUUGAUACUAUCGGUCUUGAAUACGGUGGAGGCGGGCGGAAUGUGUCAUGUAGUAGUGAAAUACUUAGAUAUGACACAGAACACCUAUUGCGAAGGCAGCUCGCUACGCCGUCAUUGACACUGAGGCACGAAAGCGUGGGGAUCAAACAGGA